This 273-nucleotide ribosomal RNA is filed under the name uncultured prokaryote. RNAcentral describes it as "partial 16S ribosomal RNA". It matches the Rfam family "Bacterial small subunit ribosomal RNA", at positions 524 to 798 of the family's 1533-position model. The record is from RNAcentral.
UACGGAGGGGCUAGCGUUGUUCGGAUUUACUGGGCGUAAAGGGCGCGUAGGCGGAUGUUCGCGUCAGAGGUGAAAGGCUACGGCUCAACCGUAGUAAGCUUUUGAAACUGUAAGACUUGAGUGCAGGAGAGGAGAGUGGAAUUCCUAGUGUAGCGGUGAAAUGCGUAGAUAUUAGGAGGAACACCAGUUGCGAAGGCGGCUCUCUGGACUGUAACUGACGCUGAGGCACGAAAGCGUGGGGAGCAAACAGGAUUAGAUACCCCGGUAGUCCCU